CCCGCACAAGCGGUGGAGCAUGUGGUUAAUUCGAAGCAACGCGAAGAACCUUACCAGGUCUUGACACCCGAUGCUAUUUCUAGAGAUAGAAAGUUACUUCGGUACAUCGGUGACAGGUGGUGCAUGGUUGUCGUCAGCUCGUGUCGUGAGAUGUUGGGUUAAGUCCCGCAACGAGCGCAACCCCUAUUGUUAGUUGCCAUCAUUCAGUUGGGCACUCUAGCGAGACUGCCGGUAAUAAACCGGAGGAAGGUGGGGAUGACGUCAAAUCAUCAUGCCCCUUAUGACCUGGGCUACACACGUGCUACAAUGGUUGGUACAACGAGUUGCGAGUCGGUGACGGCGAGCUAAUCUCUUAAAGCCAAUCUCAGUUCGGAUUGUAGGCUGCAACUCGCCUACAUGAAGUCGGAAUCGCUAGUAAUCGCGGAUCAGCACGCCGCGGUGAAUACGUUCCCGGGCCUU
RNAcentral lists this ribosomal RNA (459 nucleotides) under uncultured Streptococcus sp. Its description in RNAcentral is "bacterial SSU rRNA". It matches the Rfam family "Bacterial small subunit ribosomal RNA", at positions 920 to 1382 of the family's 1533-position model. Lineage: Bacteria; Bacillati; Bacillota; Bacilli; Lactobacillales; Streptococcaceae. The record is from RNAcentral.